RNAcentral lists this ribosomal RNA (698 nucleotides) under uncultured bacterium. Its description in RNAcentral is "bacterial SSU rRNA". It matches the Rfam family "Bacterial small subunit ribosomal RNA", at positions 8 to 717 of the family's 1533-position model. The record is from RNAcentral.
AGAGUUUGAUCAUGGCUCAGGACGAACGCUGGCGGCGUGCUUAACACAUGCAAGUCGAACGGAAAGGCCCUGCUUUUGUGGGGUGCUCGAGUGGCGAACGGGUGAGUAACACGUGAGUAACCUGCCCUUGACUUUGGGAUAACUUCAGGAAACUGGGGCUAAUACCGGAUAGGAGCUCCUGCUGCAUGGUGGGGGUUGGAAAGUUUCGGCGGUUGGGGAUGGACUCGCGGCUUAUCAGCUUGUUGGUGGGGUAGUGGCUUACCAAGGCUUUGACGGGUAGCCGGCCUGAGAGGGUGACCGGCCACAUUGGGACUGAGAUACGGCCCAGACUCCUACGGGAGGCAGCAGUGGGGAAUAUUGCACAAUGGGCGGAAGCCUGAUGCAGCAACGCCGCGUGCGGGAUGACGGCCUUCGGGUUGUAAACCGCUUUCGCCUGUGACGAAGCGUGAGUGACGGUAAUGGGUAAAGAAGCACCGGCUAACUACGUGCCAGCAGCCGCGGUGAUACGUAGGGUGCGAGCGUUGUCCGGAUUUAUUGGGCGUAAAGGGCUCGUAGGUGGUUGAUCGCGUCGGAAGUGUAAUCUUGGGGCUUAACCCUGAGCGUGCUUUCGAUACGGGUUGACUUGAGGAAGGUAGGGGAGAAUGGAAUUCCUGGUGGAGCGGUGGAAUGCGCAGAUAUCAGGAGGAACACCAGUGGCG